Molecule: ribosomal RNA, 464 nt
Filed under: uncultured bacterium
Lineage: Bacteria
Description: partial 16S ribosomal RNA
Rfam family: Bacterial small subunit ribosomal RNA
Source: RNAcentral
CUACGGGGCGCAGCAGUGAGGAAUUUUGCGCAAUGGGGGAAACCCUGACGCAGCAACGCCGCGUGAGUGAAGAAGGCUUUCGGGUCGUAAAGCUCUGUCAGAUAGGAAAAAAGUUCAUAUGUAAAUAGCUUAUGAAUCUGAUGGUACUAUCAGAGGAAGCACCGGCUAACUCCGUGCCAGCAGCCGCGGUAAUACGGAGGGUGCAAGCGGUGUUCGGAAUUACUGGGCGUAAAGGGCGUGUAGGCGGUAUGGUAAGUCAGAUGUGAAAGCCCUGGGCUUAACUCAGGAAGUGCAUUUGAUACUGCCAUCCUUGAGUAUGGGAGAGGAGAGUAGAAUUCCCAGUGUAGAGGUGAAAUUCGUAGAUAUUGGGAGGAAUACCCGUGGCGAAGGCGACUCUCUGGACCAAUACUGACGCUGAGACGCGAAAGCGUGGGGAGCAAACAGGAUUAGAUACCCGAGUAGUC